Molecule: ribosomal RNA, 498 nt
Filed under: uncultured bacterium
Lineage: Bacteria
Description: partial 16S ribosomal RNA
Rfam family: Bacterial small subunit ribosomal RNA
Source: RNAcentral
GAUGAACGCUGGCGGCGUGCCUAAUACAUGCAAGUCGAGCGAACGGACGAGAAGCUUGCUUUUCUGAUGUUAGCGGCGGACGGGUGAGUAACACGUGGGUAACCUACCUAUAAGACUGGGAUAACUUCGGGAAACCGGAGCUAAUACCGGAUAAUAUUUUGAACCGCAUGGUUCAAAAGUGAAAGACGGUCUUGCUGUCACUUAUAGAUGGAUCCGCGCUGCAUUAGCUAGUUGGUAAGGUAACGGCUUACCAAGGCAACGAUGCAUAGCCGACCUGAGAGGGUGAUCGGCCACACUGGAACUGAGACACGGUCCAGACUCCUACGGGAGGCAGCAGUAGGGAAUCUUCCGCAAUGGGCGAAAGCCUGACGGAGCAACGCCGCGUGAGUGAUGAAGGUCUUCGGAUCGUAAAACUCUGUUAUUAGGGAAGAACAUAUGUGUAAGUAACUGUGCACAUCUUGACGGUACCUAAUCAGAAAGCCACGGCUAACUACGUGC